RNAcentral lists this ribosomal RNA (488 nucleotides) under uncultured bacterium. RNAcentral's name for it is "bacterial SSU rRNA". It matches the Rfam family "Bacterial small subunit ribosomal RNA", at positions 411 to 895 of the family's 1533-position model. The record is from RNAcentral.
AAGGCUCGUGGGCUGUAAACUCCUUUUCCUAGAGAAGAAGUCUGACGGUAUCUAGGGAAUAAGCAUCAGCUAACUGCGUGCCAGCAGCUGCGGUAAUACGUGGGAUGCAAGCGUUAUCCGGAUUUAUUGGGCGUAAAGCGUCUGUAGGUGGCUUCGCAAGUUUGUUGUUAAAUCAUUCAGCUUAACUGAAUUCCAGCAGCAAAAACUAUGAAGCUUGAGUGCGGUAGAGGAAAAGGGAAUUCCCUGUGGAGCGGUGAAAUGCGUAGAGAUAGGGAAGAACACCAAUGGCGAAAGCACUUUUCUGGGCCUGCACUGACAUUGAGAGACGAAAGCUAGGGGAGCGAGUAGGAUUAGAUACCCUAUUAGUCCUAGCCGUAAACGAUGGAAACUACAUUUUGGAGCUCUAGGAGCUCAGCUUCGUAUUCUUCAGAAUGGUAGCUAACGCGUUAAGUUUCCGCGCCUUGGGAAAGUAAUGGCUCGCAAAGAGU